UACGAAGGGGGCUAGCGUUGUUCGGAAUUACUGGGCGUAAAGCGUAUGCAGGCGGAUCUUUAAGUCGGGGUGAAAUCCCGAGGCUCAACCUCGGAACUGCCUUCGAUACUGAAGAUCUUGAGUCCGGGAGAGGUGAGUGGAACUGCGAGUGUAGAGGUGAAAUUCGUAGAUAUUCGCAAGAACUCCAGUGGCGAAGGCGGCUCCCUGGCCCGGUCCUGACGCUGAGCUUCGACAGCGUGGGGAGCAAACAGG
RNAcentral lists this ribosomal RNA (252 nucleotides) under uncultured bacterium. Its description in RNAcentral is "partial 16S ribosomal RNA". It matches the Rfam family "Bacterial small subunit ribosomal RNA", at positions 524 to 776 of the family's 1533-position model. The record is from RNAcentral.